GACGAACGCUGGCGGCGUGCCUAAUACAUGCAAGUCGAACGAACUCUGGUAUUGAUUGGUGCUUGCAUCAUGAUUUACAUUUGAGUGAGUGGCGAACUGGUGAGUAACACGUGGGAAACCUGCCCAGAAGCGGGGGAUAACACCUGGAAACAGAUGCUAAUACCGCAUAACAACUUGGACCGCAUGGUCCGAGCUUGAAAGAUGGCUUCGGCUAUCACUUUUGGAUGGUCCCGCGGCGUAUUAGCUAGAUGGUGGGGUAACGGCUCACCAUGGCAAUGAUACGUAGCCGACCUGAGAGGGUAAUCGGCCACAUUGGGACUGAGACACGGCCCAAACUCCUACGGGAGGCAGCAGUAGGGAAUCUUCCACAAUGGACGAAAGUCUGAUGGAGCAACGCCGCGUGAGUGAAGAAGGGUUUCGGCUCGUAAAACUCUGUUGUUAAAGAAGAACAUAUCUGAGAGUAACUGUUCAGGUAUUGACGGUAUUUAACCAGAAAGCCACGGCUAACUACGUGCCAGCAGCCGCGGUAAUACGUAGGUGGCAAGCGUUGUCCGGAUUUAUUGGGCGUAAAGCGAGCGCAGGCGGUUUUUUAAGUCUGAUGUGAAAGCCUUCGGCUCAACCGAAGAAGUGCAUCGGAAACUGGGAAACUUGAGUGCAGAAGAGGACAGUGGAACUCCAUGUGUAGCGGUGAAAUGCGUAGAUAUAUGGAAGAACACCAGUGGCGAAGGCGGCUGUCUGGUCUGUAACUGACGCUGAGGCUCGAAAGUAUGGGUAGCAAACAGGAUUAGAUACCCUGGUAGUCCAUACCGUAAACGAUGAAUGCUAAGUGUUGGAGGGUUUCCGCCCUUCAGUGCUGCAGCUAACGCAUUAAGCAUUCCGCCUGGGGAGUACGGCCGCAAGGCUGAAACUCAAAGGAAUUGACGGGGGCCCGCACAAGCGGUGGAGCAUGUGGUUUAAUUCGAAGCUACGCGAAGAACCUUACCAGGUCUUGACAUACUAUGCAAAUCUAAGAGAUUAGACGUUCCCUUCGGGGACAUGGAUACAGGUGGUGCAUGGUUGUCGUCAGCUCGUGUCGUGAGAUGUUGGGUUAAGUCCCGCAACGAGCGCAACCCUUAUUAUCAGUUGCCAGCAUUAAGUUGGGCACUCUGGUGAGACUGCCGGUGACAAACCGGAGGAAGGUGGGGAUGACGUCAAAUCAUCAUGCCCCUUAUGACCUGGGCUACACACGUGCUACAAUGGAUGGUACAACGAGUUGCGAACUCGCGAGAGUAAGCUAAUCUCUUAAAGCCAUUCUCAGUUCGGAUUGUAGGCUGCAACUCGCCUGCAUGAAGUCGGAAUCGCUAGUAAUCGCGGAUCAGCAUGCCGCGGUGAAUACGUUCCCGGGCCUUGUACACACCGCCCGUCACACCAUGAGAGUUUGUAACACCCAAAGUCGGUGGGGUAACCUUUUAGGAACCAGCCGCCUAAGGUGGGACAGAUGAUUAGGGUG
This 1489-nucleotide ribosomal RNA is filed under the name Lactiplantibacillus argentoratensis. Its description in RNAcentral is "bacterial SSU rRNA". It matches the Rfam family "Bacterial small subunit ribosomal RNA". The record is from RNAcentral. Lineage: Bacteria; Bacillati; Bacillota; Bacilli; Lactobacillales; Lactobacillaceae.